CAGUAGCCGCGGUAAUACGUAGGUCCCGAGCGUUGUCCGGAUUUAUUGGGCGUAAAGCGAGCGCAGGCGGUUAGAUAAGUCUGAAGUUAAAGGCUGUGGCUUAACCAUAGUACGCUUUGGAAACUGUUUAACUUGAGUGCAAGAGGGGAGAGUGGAAUUCCAUGUGUAGCGGUGAAAUGCGUAGAUAUAUGGAGGAACACCGGUGGUGAAAGCGGCUCUCUGGCUUGUAACUGACGCUGAGGCUCGAAAGCGUGGGGAGCAAACAGGAUUAGAUACCCCGGUAGUCCCUGUCUCUUAUACA
RNAcentral lists this ribosomal RNA (301 nucleotides) under uncultured bacterium. RNAcentral's name for it is "partial 16S ribosomal RNA". It matches the Rfam family "Bacterial small subunit ribosomal RNA", at positions 509 to 808 of the family's 1533-position model. The record is from RNAcentral.